Molecule: non-coding RNA, 27 nt
Filed under: Rattus norvegicus (Norway rat)
Lineage: Eukaryota; Metazoa; Chordata; Mammalia; Rodentia; Muridae
Source: RNAcentral
GAUGAUGAACAAAAAGAUAUGGAAACA